ACCUAGGUGGCUCAGCUGGUUAAGCAUCUGACUUUGGCUCAGGUCAAGAUCUCACAGUUUGUGGGUUCAAGCCCCACAUUUGGCU
Molecule: transfer RNA, 85 nt
Filed under: Felis catus (domestic cat)
Lineage: Eukaryota; Metazoa; Chordata; Mammalia; Carnivora; Felidae
Rfam family: tRNA
About the family: Transfer RNA (tRNA) molecules are approximately 80 nucleotides in length.
Source: Rfam by way of RNAcentral